This 84-nucleotide ribosomal RNA is filed under the name Mesocricetus auratus (golden hamster). The record is from RNAcentral. Lineage: Eukaryota; Metazoa; Chordata; Mammalia; Rodentia; Cricetidae.
GUCUAUGGCCAUACCACCCUGAACGCGCCCAAUCUCGUCUGAUCUCGGAAGCUAGAUAUAACAUGGACAUUGUGCCCAUAUAAU